GACGAAUGCUGGCGGCGUGCCUAACACAUGCAAGUCAACUUGACUGAAGGAGCAAUCUGACAGUAGAGUGGCGCAAGGGUGCGUAACGCGUAAGUAACUUGCCCCAAGGUAAGGAAUAACGUCGAGAAAUCGGCGCUAAUACCUCAUAAUGCAGCGGAUCCGCAUGGAUAUGUUGUUAAAGGUUUACCGCCUUGGGAUAGGCUUGCGUCUGAUUAGCUAGUUGGUGUGGUAACGGCACACCAAGGCUACGAUCAGUAACUGGUCUGAGAGGAUGAUCAGUCACACUGGAACUGAGACACGGUCCAGACUCCUACGGGAGGCAGCAGUGAGGAAUAUUGGGCAAUGCCCGAAAGAGUGACCCAGCAACGCCGCGUGGAGGAUGAAGGUAUUCUAUAUCGUAAACUCCUGUGAGAGCAGACGAAAGACAGAUUAUUAAUACUGGAUGACUGUAUGCUCAGAGG
RNAcentral lists this ribosomal RNA (461 nucleotides) under uncultured bacterium. RNAcentral's name for it is "bacterial SSU rRNA". It matches the Rfam family "Bacterial small subunit ribosomal RNA", at positions 28 to 487 of the family's 1533-position model. The record is from RNAcentral.